This 300-nucleotide ribosomal RNA is filed under the name uncultured Pseudoalteromonas sp. RNAcentral's name for it is "bacterial SSU rRNA". It matches the Rfam family "Bacterial small subunit ribosomal RNA", at positions 114 to 422 of the family's 1533-position model. Lineage: Bacteria; Pseudomonadati; Pseudomonadota; Gammaproteobacteria; Alteromonadales; Pseudoalteromonadaceae. The record is from RNAcentral.
UGCUUGGGGAUGUGCCCUAAGGUGGAGGAUAACUAUUGGAAACGAUAGCUAAUACUGCAUAGAAUCUACGGAUUAAAGGAGGCUUCGGCUUUCGCCUUUGGAUCAACCCAAGUGGGAUUAGCUAGUUGGUUGAGGUAAAGGCUCACCAAGGCAACGAUCCCUAGCUGGUUUGAGAGGAUGAUCAGCCACACUGGAACUGAGACACGGUCCAGACUCCUACGGGAGGCAGCAGUGGGGAAUAUUGCACAAUGGGCGCAAGCCUGAUGCAGCCAUGCCGCGUGUGUGAAGAAGGCCCUAGGG